UAUAAUGGGUCAGCGACUUAUAUUCUGUAGCAAGGUUAACCGUAUAGGGGAGCCGCAGGGAAACCGAGUCUUAACUGGGCGUUAAGUUGCAGGGUAUAGACCCGAAACCCGGUGAUCUAGCCAUGGGCAGGUUGAAGGUUGGGUAACACUAACUGGAGGACCGAACCGACUAAUGUUGAAAAAUUAGCGGAUGACUUGUGGCUGGGGGUGAAAGGCCAAUCAAACCGGGAGAUAGCUGGUUCUCCCCGAAAGCUAUUUAGGUAGCGCCUCGUGAACUCAUCUUCGGGGGUAGAGCACUGUUUCGGCUAGGGGGUCAUCCCGACUUACCAACCCGAUGCAAACUACGAAUACCGAAGAAUGUUAUCACGGGAGACACACGGCGGGUGCUAACGUCCGUCGUGAAGAGGGAAACAACCCAGACCGCCAGCUAAGGUCCCAAAGUCAUGGUUAAGUGGGAAACGAUGUGGGAAGGCACAGACAGCCAGGAUGUUGGCUUAGAAGCAGCCAUCAUUUAAAGAAAGCGUAAUAGCUCACUGGUCGAGUCGGCCUGCGCGGAAGAUGUAACGGGGCUAAACCAUGCACCGAAGCUGCGGCAGCGACACUAUGUGUUGUUGGGUAGGGGAGCGUUCUGUAAGCCUGCGAAGGUGACCUGUGAGGGUUGCUGGAGGUAUCAGAAGUGCGAAUGCUGACAUAAGUAACGAUAAAGCGGGUGAAAAGCCCGCUCGCCGGAAGACCAAGGGUUCCUGUCCAACGUUAAUCGGGGCAGGGUGAGUCGACCCCUAAGGCGAGGCCGAAAGGCGUAGUCGAUGGGAAACAGGUUAAUAUUCCUGUACUUGGUGUUACUGCGAAGGGGGGACGGAGAAGGCUAUGUUAGCCGGGCGACGGUUGUCCCGGUUUAAGCAUGUAGGCUGGUUAUCCAGGCAAAUCCGGAUAAUCAAGGCUGAGGUGUGAUGACGAGGCACUACGGUGCUGAAGUAACAAAUGCCCUGCUUCCAGGAAAAGCCUCUAAGCAUCAGGUAACAUCAAAUCGUACCCCAAACCGACACAGGUGGUCAGGUAGAGAAUACCAAGGCGCUUGAGAGAACUCGGGUGAAGGAACUAGGCAAAAUGGUGCCGUAACUUCGGGAGAAGG
RNAcentral lists this ribosomal RNA (1132 nucleotides) under Klebsiella quasipneumoniae subsp. similipneumoniae. RNAcentral's name for it is "partial 23S ribosomal RNA". It matches the Rfam family "Bacterial large subunit ribosomal RNA", at positions 611 to 1746 of the family's 2925-position model. The record is from RNAcentral. Lineage: Bacteria; Pseudomonadati; Pseudomonadota; Gammaproteobacteria; Enterobacterales; Enterobacteriaceae.